This 73-nucleotide transfer RNA is filed under the name Klosneuvirus KNV1. RNAcentral describes it as "tRNA-Arg". The record is from RNAcentral. Lineage: Varidnaviria; Bamfordvirae; Nucleocytoviricota; Megaviricetes; Imitervirales; Mimiviridae.
CGACCACGAUGGGACUCGAACCCACAACCCCAGGCUUAGAAGGCCUGUGCACUACCAAUUAUGCUACGUGACC